UUAGGAAUCUUCCACAAUGGGCGCAAGCCUGAUGGAGCGACACUGCAUGAGGGAUGACGGCCCUAGGGUUGUAAACCUCUGAACCAGGGACGAUAAUGACGGUACCUGGGUAAUAGCACCGGCUAACUCCGUGCCAGCAGCCGCGGUAAUACGGAGGGUGCGAGCGUUAUCCGGAAUCACUGGGCGUAAAGGGCACGUAGGCGGUCUACUAAGUCCGAUGUUAAAGCGUGGGGCUCAACCCCAUUAGAGCGUUGGAUACUGGCAGGCUUGACGACUGGAGAGGAAAGUAGAAUUACCAGUGUAGCGGUGAAAUGCGUAGAUACUGGUAGGAAUACCCAUUGCGAAGGCAGCUUUCUGGACAGUUUGUGACGCUGAGGUGCGAAAGUGUGGGGAGCAAACCGGAUUAGAUACCCGCGUAGUCC
Molecule: ribosomal RNA, 422 nt
Filed under: uncultured prokaryote
Description: bacterial SSU rRNA
Rfam family: Bacterial small subunit ribosomal RNA
Source: RNAcentral